This 72-nucleotide transfer RNA is filed under the name Ictidomys tridecemlineatus (thirteen-lined ground squirrel). RNAcentral describes it as "Spermophilus tridecemlineatus (thirteen-lined ground squirrel) tRNA". It matches the Rfam family "tRNA". From Rfam's summary of the family: Transfer RNA (tRNA) molecules are approximately 80 nucleotides in length. The record is from Rfam by way of RNAcentral. Lineage: Eukaryota; Metazoa; Chordata; Mammalia; Rodentia; Sciuridae.
GAAAGCAUAGCUCAGUGGUAGAGCACUUGUCUAGCAUGCUUAAGGACCUGGGUUUAAUUCCCAGUUUAUAUA